UACGAAGGGUGCAAGCGUUACUCGGAAUUACUGGGCGUAAAGCGCACGUAGGCGGAUCUUUAAGUCAGGGGUGAAAUCCUGGAGCUCAACUCCAGAACUGCCUUUGAUACUGGGGAUCUCGAGUCCGGAAGAGGAGUGUGGAAUUCCUGGUGUAGCGGUGAAAUGCGCAGAUAUCGGGAGGAACACCAAUUGCGAAGGCAGCUCGCUGGGACGUUACUGACGCUGAGACGCGAAAGCGUGGGGAGCAAACAGG
RNAcentral lists this ribosomal RNA (253 nucleotides) under uncultured bacterium. RNAcentral's name for it is "partial 16S ribosomal RNA". It matches the Rfam family "Bacterial small subunit ribosomal RNA", at positions 524 to 776 of the family's 1533-position model. The record is from RNAcentral.